Molecule: transfer RNA, 86 nt
Filed under: Anaerobranca gottschalkii DSM 13577
Lineage: Bacteria; Bacillati; Bacillota; Clostridia; Eubacteriales; Proteinivoracaceae
Also listed under: 2 other names
Description: tRNA_Leu_CAA
Rfam family: tRNA
About the family: Transfer RNA (tRNA) molecules are approximately 80 nucleotides in length. Their secondary structure includes four short double-helical elements and three loops (D, anti-codon, and T loops). Further hydrogen bonds mediate the characteristic L-shaped molecular structure. tRNAs have two regions of fundamental functional importance: the anti-codon, which is responsible for specific mRNA codon recognition, and the 3' end, to which the tRNAs corresponding amino acid is attached (by aminoacyl-tRNA synthetases). tRNAs cope with the degeneracy of the genetic code in two manners: having more than one tRNA (with a specific anti-codon) for a particular amino acid; and 'wobble' base-pairing, i.e. permitting non-standard base-pairing at the 3rd anti-codon position.
Source: RNAcentral
GCCGAAGUGGCGGAAUUGGCAGACGCACUUGACUCAAAAUCAAGCGGCCACAAACCGUGCCGGUUCGAGUCCGGCCUUCGGCACCA